This 958-nucleotide long non-coding RNA is filed under the name Salvia miltiorrhiza (redroot sage). RNAcentral describes it as "long non-coding RNA (SMIL_LNC011822)". The record is from RNAcentral. Lineage: Eukaryota; Viridiplantae; Streptophyta; Magnoliopsida; Lamiales; Lamiaceae.
UUUUUAUAUCUCUCUCUCUCUUCAAUCACCACACACACACUUUAUAUAAUCUCCCUCUCUCUAUCUUUUUUUUUAAAAUUAUUCCUUCUCUCCCUCUACCUUUAUUAAAAGCAUAACACUCACUCUCUUUAUUCAAUCACCACAUGCACACACACAUUUUAAGUAUAUAUCUCUCUCUCUCACCGAUCCAUCCAAACACACACACACUUUCAAUAAUCUCUCUCUCUCUUUUCUCCCAAAACACACACACAGCACGCUGGCACCGGCGACACCGCCGUCGCCUCUCCAGCCUCGUCUCUUCCUCCUCCGCCUGACACCCCCACACAACGCAGAACUCUCCCUCUCUCUCAAAGCUCACGACACGCGCAAUGCAGCAGCGCGACAUCGCCCUCAACUCCGGCGACAUCGCCGUCGAGCCGCCCUCUCUCCCCUCAACCUUCCUCUCUCUCUCACAAAGCUCCGCCGCUGCGGAAGCUCGCCGGGAAGCAGCGGCGAUAAGCCGCCGUCACCCACUGCUCUCCCCUCUCUCCGUCCGUGGCCGAGCGCCAACAGCAGGGCCGCCGCCCUCUGGCCUCCCUCCGUCUGACUCCCGCCGACGACAACAUCAGCUGACAAAGCUAACCGUCGCCGCUGACCUCCCUCGUAAUCUCUCUCUCUCCUCGGUCAGUGGUAGACCACCACCGCCGGACGGACAGCAGCGAUGAGCCGCCGCCGCCUUCCUCGAUUCUCUCUCACUCUCCUCAGUCAGCCUCCAUCCCCGACUCGACUCAUACCAGAAACAGCAAUUACUUCCACAAAAGCCAACAUGACUCAAGACUCAAGACUCCAUUUUUUUAUCAGCAUGCUUCAAAUCAUCCUUCUACUCUUAUUUUCUUUUAACAACAGUCAUGCUUUGUAUAUAUGUAUGACAGUGUAUGCAUAUGUAUUUUUGGCAGAAAUGAGAAAUCAUGAAUGAAAA